RNAcentral lists this long non-coding RNA (863 nucleotides) under Pongo abelii (Sumatran orangutan). RNAcentral describes it as "lincRNA". Lineage: Eukaryota; Metazoa; Chordata; Mammalia; Primates; Hominidae. The record is from RNAcentral.
GGAUUAACACAGUGGCUCAACACCGGGAAGGAACUGGCUCUUGGAGUCCGGACAUCUGAAACUUGGACUGUGAAUGCAACCCAUGAAAAAGAGGGUUUUCGGAAGCUUGACAUUUAUGAGGGUGAGGAAUUAACAAGCCAACAUCAGUCUCCAGAGUGAAUCCAAGGAGAGGACCCAAGACAUUCAUGUUCUGUGAUGUGGUGACAUGUUACCUGUCAUCUCUGAUGCACAACUCCUAAAGUGUUUGCAUCUGGGGCAGUUGUACAGAUUGCAGAAGCUAAUACUCAAGAUGUUCUCCAAGGCCAACUACUCAUCAGUUUAUUCAUGUUUCUGGGAUUGGAUUCAUGAACUCAUCCUUUGAACUAUUUCAACAAGCUUUUUCAUGUAACUAAUCUGCGGAAGGUAGAAAGGGUAAAACUGUUGGGUGCUAAAAUGACAACUGGUUCAAGGUACAACGGCGAAUAUUUUUAUUUCUGCAACUUUUCUUAGAGGUUGGAAACUGGACUAGGCAGGAAGAUUCCGUUUUGUAAGAUUAGUCUCCAGUUUUCAUCAAGCAGUUUAGUGGGGUAUUUUAGACCCAGUUCCCUCUCCACAGUCCCCAAAGUUCUUCUGUUAACUUUAAAUCAGCAAAGAGAGAGAUCUCUGCCAAGCAUCAACUGCAAGAGCAUGUGGGUCAAAGUUACCAGCAGACACUCAAAGCACAUUCACUUUACUUCAACACUGCUUUAUAAAUUAUCUUAGAGAUGUUGUCAAGGUUGGUAUCAGAGGUGAGUGGUCAUGACUUCACGAUUUCUCAUCUUUCUGAAUGCACAGCGGCUGGGAGGUGGUGGCUCAUGCCUGUAAUCCCAGCACUUUGGGAGGCC